Molecule: ribosomal RNA, 315 nt
Filed under: uncultured eukaryote
Lineage: Eukaryota
Description: partial 18S ribosomal RNA
Rfam family: Eukaryotic small subunit ribosomal RNA
Source: RNAcentral
CCCUUAGACGUUCUGGGCCGCACGCGCGCUACACUGACCAGUGCAACAAGCAUCCGUCCGUGGCCGACAGGCCCGGGCAAUCUUUGAACGCUGGUCGUGAUGGGGAUAGACUUUUGCAAUUUUUGGUCUUCAACGAGGAAUUCCUAGUAAACGCAAGUCAUCAACUUGCAUUGAUUACGUCCCUGCCCUUUGUACACACCGCCCGUCGCACCUACCGAUUGAAUGGUCCGGUGAAGCCUCCGGAUUGGCGCGCACCUCGGUGCCGCCGAGAAGUUGGCUAAACCUUACCAUUUAGAGGAAGGUGAAGUCGUAACA